This 835-nucleotide ribosomal RNA is filed under the name Trachylepis capensis (Cape three-lined skink). RNAcentral describes it as "partial 12S ribosomal RNA". It matches the Rfam family "Bacterial small subunit ribosomal RNA". The record is from RNAcentral. Lineage: Eukaryota; Metazoa; Chordata; Lepidosauria; Squamata; Scincidae.
CUUGCCAUUGUUUUUUAUCAAAUUUACACAUGCAAGCUUCAACAACCCAGUGAGAUUGCCCAAAACCCCUAAACAGCCAUAAGGAGCGGGCAUCAGGAUUCAGAGACAUCUAGCCUAAGACGCCUUGCUAUGCCACCCCCACACGGGUAUACAGCAGUGAAUAACAUUAAGAUAUGAGCGAAAGCUCGACUUAGUUAUGAUAAAUGUGGCCGGUAAAUUUCGUGCCAGCCACCGCGGUUAUACGAGAGGCCAAAAACAAUGACCCACGGCGUAAAGCGUGACAAAAGUCUGUCAAAUUUUUAAGGAAAAAUUAUAUCAAAGUCGUAAAACACCUUGACUAUAAGACCACCAACAACAAAAUGACCUUAAACAAAAGACUCCUCGACCUCACGAAAGCUAAGAAACAAACUAGGAUUAGAUACCCUACUAUGCUUGGCCCUAAACAUAGAUGGCAAACACACAAUGCUAUCCGCCAGAGAACUACAAGUGAAAAACUAGAAACUCCAAGGACUUGGCGGUACUCCAUAUCGACCUAGAGGAGCCUGUCCUAUAAUCGAUAAUCCACGUUAUACCUCACCACCCCUUGCAAUUCAGCCUAUAUACCGCCGUCGUCAGCCUACCUUAUGAAAGAAACAAAGUAGACAAAACAGUUAAUAACUAAAACGUCAGGUCAAGGUGUAGCACAUGGGGUGGAAGAGAUGGGCUACACUUUCUACCACAGAAUAUACGAACAGCACAAUGAAACUUGUGCUAAAAGGUGGAUUUAGCAGUAAGAAAAACAAGAAACUUUGCCUGAAACUCGCUCUGGAGUGCGCACACACCGCCCGUCACCCUC